Molecule: ribosomal RNA, 253 nt
Filed under: uncultured bacterium
Lineage: Bacteria
Description: partial 16S ribosomal RNA
Rfam family: Bacterial small subunit ribosomal RNA
Source: RNAcentral
UACGGAGGGAGCUAGCGUUGUUCGGAAUUACUGGGGGUAAAGCGCACGUAGGCGGCUUUGUAAGUUAGAGGUGAAAGCCCGGAGCUCAACUCCGGAAUUGCCUUUAAGACUGCAUCGCUUGAAUCCAGGAGAGGUGAGUGGAAUUCCGAGUGUAGAGGUGAAAUUCGUAGAUAUUCGGAAGAACACCAGUGGCGAAGGCGGCUCACUGGACUGGUAUUGACGCUGAGGUGCGAAAGCGUGGGGAGCAAACAGG